RNAcentral lists this ribosomal RNA (468 nucleotides) under uncultured bacterium. RNAcentral's name for it is "partial 16S ribosomal RNA". It matches the Rfam family "Bacterial small subunit ribosomal RNA", at positions 28 to 507 of the family's 1533-position model. The record is from RNAcentral.
GACGAACGCUGGCGGCGUGCUUAACACAUGCAAGUCGAACGGAAAGGCCCUGCUUUUGUGGGGUGCUCGAGUGGCGAACGGGUGAGUAACACGUGAGUAACCUGCCCUUGACUUUGGGAUAACUUCAGGAAACUGGGGCUAAUACCGGAUAGGAUCUCCUGCUGCAUGGUGGGGGUUGGAAAGUUUCGGCGGUUGGGGAUGGACUCGCGGCUUGUCAGCUUGUUGGUGGGGUAGUGGCUUACCAAGGCUUUGACGGGUAGCCGGCCUGAGAGGGUGACCGGCCACAUUGGGACUGAGAUACGGCCCAGACUCCUACGGGAGGCAGCAGUGGGGAAUAUUGCACAAUGGGCGGAAGCCUGAUGCAGCAACGCCGCGUGCGGGAUGACGGCCUUCGGGUUGUAAACCGCUUUCGCCUGUGACGAAGCGUGAGUGACGGUAAUGGGUAAAGAAGCACCGGCUAACUACGUG